UCUAUCUAUUCCUUUUCUUCUCAGUGCAAAAACGACAAUAAAAACAAAACAGCAACGAUUUAAGUCAGCCGCCACUGCCACCGGCAGAAGUUUUUUUUUUCUAAUUUGUGCAGUGGAGUUGUUGAUCACAUCUACGGAAUCAAGAGAUUCGGUUCAUGACUGGAAAACUAUGGCGCGUUUUAAAAUCUACAAGAGGGGCUGGGGUCGCUGGAUAAGCCGCGCCGGUAGUCUUGGAAGCUGCAAGUCAUAACACGACGAUUAACACGAAUGAGGACAUCCUGUUGCAUGAGCGCCUAUAAACCUGCUCAGUUUAAUGAAUUUUAGGUUUAAAAUAAAUACAAUAUGGAAUAAAAUUUAAAAAAUGAAUAAAUUUAAUUUAUAAAGAAAAACAUGAA
Armigeres subalbatus is the source of this 395-nucleotide long non-coding RNA. RefSeq lists it as uncharacterized. Lineage: Eukaryota; Metazoa; Arthropoda; Insecta; Diptera; Culicidae. The transcript has 2 exons. The record is from RefSeq and is a predicted model, not a curated record.